RNAcentral lists this ribosomal RNA (1000 nucleotides) under Klebsiella aerogenes. Its description in RNAcentral is "bacterial SSU rRNA". It matches the Rfam family "Bacterial small subunit ribosomal RNA", at positions 56 to 1048 of the family's 1533-position model. Lineage: Bacteria; Pseudomonadati; Pseudomonadota; Gammaproteobacteria; Enterobacterales; Enterobacteriaceae. The record is from RNAcentral.
UGCAGUCGAGCGGUAGCACAGAGAGCUUGCUCUCGGGUGACGAGCGGCGGACGGGUGAGUAAUGUCUGGGAAACUGCCUGAUGGAGGGGGAUAACUACUGGAAACGGUAGCUAAUACCGCAUAACGUCGCAAGACCAAAGUGGGGGACCUUCGGGCCUCAUGCCAUCAGAUGUGCCCAGAUGGGAUUAGCUAGUAGGUGGGGUAAUGGCUCACCUAGGCGACGAUCCCUAGCUGGUCUGAGAGGAUGACCAGCCACACUGGAACUGAGACACGGUCCAGACUCCUACGGGAGGCAGCAGUGGGGAAUAUUGCACAAUGGGCGCAAGCCUGAUGCAGCCAUGCCGCGUGUAUGAAGAAGGCCUUCGGGUUGUAAAGUACUUUCAGCGAGGAGGAAGGCGUUAAGGUUAAUAACCUUGGCGAUUGACGUUACUCGCAGAAGAAGCACCGGCUAACUCCGUGCCAGCAGCCGCGGUAAUACGGAGGGUGCAAGCGUUAAUCGGAAUUACUGGGCGUAAAGCGCACGCAGGCGGUCUGUCAAGUCGGAUGUGAAAUCCCCGGGCUCAACCUGGGAACUGCAUUCGAAACUGGCAGGCUAGAGUCUUGUAGAGGGGGGUAGAAUUCCAGGUGUAGCGGUGAAAUGCGUAGAGAUCUGGAGGAAUACCGGUGGCGAAGGCGGCCCCCUGGACAAAGACUGACGCUCAGGUGCGAAAGCGUGGGGAGCAAACAGGAUUAGAUACCCUGGUAGUCCACGCCGUAAACGAUGUCGACUUGGAGGUUGUGCCCUUGAGGCGUGGCUUCCGGAGCUAACGCGUUAAGUCGACCGCCUGGGGAGUACGGCCGCAAGGUUAAAACUCAAAUGAAUUGACGGGGGCCCGCACAAGCGGUGGAGCAUGUGGUUUAAUUCGAUGCAACGCGAAGAACCUUACCUGGUCUUGACAUCCACAGAACUUUCCAGAGAUGGAUUGGUGCCUUCGGGAACUGUGAGACAGGUGCUGCAUGG